UGGCGGACGGGUGAGUAAUGUCUGGGAAACUGCCCGAUGAGGGGGAGUAACUACUGGAAACGGUAGCUAAUACCGCAUAAUGUCUACGGACCAAAGCGGGGGACCUCCGGGCCUCGCGCCAUCAGAUGAACCCAUAUGGGAUUAGCUUGUAGGUAAGGUAACGGCUUACCUAGGCGACGAUCCCUAGCUGGUCUGAGAGGAUGAUCAGCCACACUGGGACUGAGACACGGCCCAG
This 235-nucleotide ribosomal RNA is filed under the name uncultured bacterium. Its description in RNAcentral is "partial 16S ribosomal RNA". It matches the Rfam family "Bacterial small subunit ribosomal RNA", at positions 96 to 334 of the family's 1533-position model. The record is from RNAcentral.